GACGAACGCUGGCGGCGUGCUUAACACAUGCAAGUCGAACGCUGAACCCGCGUCUGUGGGGGGUGAGUGGCGAACGGGUGAGUAACACGUGGGCAACCUGCCCCCGGCUCUGGGAUAACUCCAAUAAAGUGGGGCUAAUACCUGAUGUGACCGCUGUCCUCAUGGUCUGUUGGUGGAGAGGAUUUCCGGCUGGGGAUGGGCCCGCGGCCUAUCAGCUUGUUGGUGGGGUAGUGGCCUACCAAGGCGACGACGGGUAGCCGGCCUGAGAGGGUGACCGGCCACACUGGGACUGAGACACGGCCCAGACUCCUACGGGAGGCAGCAGUGGGGAAUAUUGCGCAAUGGGCGGAAGCCUGACGCAGCGACGCCGCGUGGGGGAUGACGGCCUUCGGGUUGUAAACCUCUUUCGGCAGGGACGAAGCGUAAGUGACGGUAACUGCAGAAGAAGCACCGGCCAACUACGUG
Molecule: ribosomal RNA, 465 nt
Filed under: uncultured bacterium
Lineage: Bacteria
Description: partial 16S ribosomal RNA
Rfam family: Bacterial small subunit ribosomal RNA
Source: RNAcentral